Molecule: unclassified non-coding RNA, 2460 nt
Filed under: Leishmania donovani
Lineage: Eukaryota; Euglenozoa; Kinetoplastea; Trypanosomatida; Trypanosomatidae
Description: gene:unknown
Source: RNAcentral
CAGCCACAGUGUGACGCCAUCCCCUCAUCUGCUUCGCGUCUUUCAGUGAAGAUGCCCAUCCCUCUCUCUCUCCUGGAAGUUCCUUUCACGUCUGUGUAGGAGGGCAUGCGUCUUCGUUGUAUGCCAAUACUUGUUUUCCACGAUCACGGAGGACGCCUCCGUGCGCGGUAUCGCAGGGCCCAGUGCACCUCCCACUCUGUCUGCGGGGGGAGGGGGGGGCUGGGCAGCCCCUCCUCUAUCCCCCCUCAUCGCUGCCAACGCCGAACCACUUCUGGUGGUGACAGGGCCAGGCACCCACGACACGGUGUGGAGGACAGAGCGAUGGAUCGCUGCUGACGUCGGCGGCCCGGUCCUGGGUGGGGUGGCGUCGGAGCGCCCCGCGACCGUGAAGAGGUCUGUGCCACACCCACCUGAUAGGCAGAGUGCCCGCGUGACUGGAGCGUGUGUCCCACCCGGCCCCUCGCAGGGCCGACGGCUGGUGUGGGGCGCCGGAGUGCCACCCCGGGGGAGAUGCACCCGGUGGCGACCGGCAUAGUGGGAUGGGCGUAUGUGUGCGCGCAUCUCGUGACUCGGUGCGUGCCAGCUCAGUGCUUGCCGAAUGCUCGUGUUGCCUGCUGUCGGUUUUCUUCCCCUUAUGCUUCCUCCCUGCUGCGGUGAAGCAUACGACGCAGGACGGAGAGAGCACCCCGCGCUUGCUCUCUCUGCCUUUGCAGAGGCGCCUCCCUUUGCUUUCUAUAUCAUCGAAAACACAACGCCUUCAAAUCCCAGAGAAGAAGCGUGGCUCUCUUUAGUUCUCUCAGCCCUUGUGUGUGUGUGUGUGUGUGCUGGGGGCUUUGGGGCGUCAGUUUGGCUCGUUCUUAUCGGCCUACGCGCAGUAUGGCACACACACACACACAUAAAUAUGCGCGCCGUUGGAUCCGUCUGCCUCGCCAACUGAGGGGGGGGCUAAUCGCGAACGGACGCCCCUCAACACGGCAUGACGGGCCGAAGGGGCUCUCCUCCCGCUGCGUCCAGCACGGCGGAUGACGCAGUCCGGCUUGCUACCCUUUUUUUCCGCAACGUCGCACCUUUGGUGAAUUAUCGCCGGCUCCUCGCUGGGAAGACGGCCAGCAGCUGGGACGAAGUCUGCCGUCUGACCCCGCAGAGCUUCCUCAGCGUCUCUAGCGCCAAAGUAGCGCCUAACCAGGGGGCGGAGGCGAAGGCAAGUCGGGGUGCGGCCCUUCCGUCCAGACGUCUUCGGCGGCGUGUGUGGCGACGGUGUGGCAGCACUGACCGGCGUGGACCGCAAAAGCGAUACGGGAAAAGAGGCGGGAUGAGUCCAUCUUUCCGUCCCCAACAGCAAGGAUCUGGGAGCUCCUUCUCCCAUGCGACUGCUCAGCGCACAGGAUCAAGUGAAGCGGGUGCUCAUGCAUGCGCUGCAAAUCCUCCCAAAGCCCCGACCCCUUCUUUCGAUCGUGUCACUACUCGAAACGCACGCUCCUAACGUUACGCUUCGUGAGGGAUCGGGCAGAGCGAUACGCCGGGGAGCAGCUGCUGGUGGCGCGUCACCUCGGGAUCGAGUCGUUGGCCCGCCCCCUUUCAUGGACGAGGCGUGAGCCCCUACGGUCGCCGGGGACACAAGAAGAGUGCACCAAACCUGUUGCGUGCAACUGCAGCAGUGGAACCGGCAAAGCCAACAACAAAAAAAAGCGUGCAGGAGCUUCUGAGCCUCGCCGACGAAUGCCUCCGCGCCCCUUUCCGCUGCAGACGCCGCCACGUUAACGCCUGCGGACGUCUCGGAGCCCUCCGCAACAGAACUCAGAGUGGCGGGCUCCGCCUUCACGGUGCUCGAUGAGAAACAUGGGUGUCUACCGAGGCAGCUCCUUCUCUGGCCCGACGAAGAAGUGGAUGGCGUCUGAGGGUCGGCGGCGCCGGACUCGAUCUAAACGCCAUCUCAUGGGAACGUGCCCCGCAUGGGAUCAGGGCGGGGGGUCACGAACCUUACAGGCUUCUCCUUUCCAGGUGCCUAUCCCAGUGGAGUUGAGACCGCUUUUCUCUUUGCAGGCCGACACCGGUUGGAUCUUGCAGCUCCAGUGCCCUACCGACGGGUUCGAGUGUGAGGUCUGGAAUUAGGCAGGUGACUACAGGCUCGGCUGCUGGACACCCCAUUCUAUGCGCCUUUCCCUCAGCCCGAACGUGAACGGUCGACGUGCGGAUCGUCCAGAUCGAGGCAGCGGGGCCAUCUCAAGCGGUAAAGAGCGUAGCGAAUGCCGCCAGAGAGUUCUCCGUCACUGCGGGGCCCGCGCAACGUGCGGGGCUGAUAACGCUAGGCAAAAAAGAGGGCAACAUGAAAAGGGGUUGGCGACGCUGUGGCGCAUCGAGUUACACCGAGGGUGUUUUCUGUCCAUCUUAGCGCGCCGUUGAUGUGCACCCGAAUGUGACCCGCAAAGGACAUGUAGAGUGCGCUUUCCGGCUACGUCC